RNAcentral lists this transfer RNA (72 nucleotides) under Cyanothece sp. SIO2G6. RNAcentral describes it as "tRNA-Asn". It matches the Rfam family "tRNA". From Rfam's summary of the family: Transfer RNA (tRNA) molecules are approximately 80 nucleotides in length. Their secondary structure includes four short double-helical elements and three loops (D, anti-codon, and T loops). RNAcentral also lists the same sequence under 2 other names. Lineage: Bacteria; Bacillati; Cyanobacteriota; Cyanophyceae; Gomontiellales; Cyanothecaceae. The record is from RNAcentral.
UCCUCAGUAGCUCAGUGGUAGAGCGGUCGACUGUUAAUCGAUUGGUCGCAGGUUCGAAUCCCGCCUGAGGAG